RNAcentral lists this ribosomal RNA (497 nucleotides) under uncultured bacterium. Its description in RNAcentral is "partial 16S ribosomal RNA". It matches the Rfam family "Bacterial small subunit ribosomal RNA", at positions 28 to 507 of the family's 1533-position model. The record is from RNAcentral.
GAUGAACGCUGGCGGCGUGCCUAAUACAUGCAAGUCGAGCGAACGGACGAGAAGCUUGCUUCUCUGAUGUUAGCGGCGGACGGGUGAGUAACACGUGGAUAACCUACCUAUAAGACUGGGAUAACUUCGGGAAACCGGAGCUAAUACCGGAUAAUAUUUUGAACCGCAUGGCUCAAAAGUGAAAGACGGUCUUGCUGUCACUUAUAGAUGGAUCCGCGCUGCAUUAGCUAGUUGGUAAGGUAACGGCUUACCAAGGCAACGAUGCAUAGCCGACCUGAGAGGGUGAUCGGCCACACUGGAACUGAGACACGGUCCAGACUCCUACGGGAGGCAGCAGUAGGGAAUCUUCCGCAAUGGGCGAAAGCCUGACGGAGCAACGCCGCGUGAGUGAUGAAGGUCUUCGGAUCGUAAAACUCUGUUAUUAGGGAAGAACAUAUGUGUAAGUAACUGUGCACAUCUUGACGGUACCUAAUCAGAAAGCCCCGGCUAACUACGUG